This 332-nucleotide long non-coding RNA is filed under the name Homo sapiens (human). Its description in RNAcentral is "non-protein coding HYMAI:4". The record is from RNAcentral. Lineage: Eukaryota; Metazoa; Chordata; Mammalia; Primates; Hominidae.
CUCCGGACUCCAGAACUUUCCAAGCGGGGGAAACUUGGCGGCGGGUAGGUAGGAAAGGCAGAUUGCUGUCACGUCUAAUGUGGCUGCUGCCUCGUGUCACAUCUGAAACUCAUCUGUACCUCACUUAGAAAUUUCUUUCUAUAACACAAGCCUGAACAUAUUGCUCUCCUGAUUAACAACUUUCAGUGGUUCUGAUUAGACAAGACUUUUCGUUGCAGUCGACAGAAACCUAAUGGGACCAUUGAAGAAUUCCAAACAGGCAGUAUUUGCAUAGGAAUCAGAGGAGUUAAUCUGCAUAUGGCUACCCAUUCUCCCCAGAAAUCUCACCAGUG